This 28-nucleotide non-coding RNA is filed under the name Mus musculus (house mouse). The record is from RNAcentral. Lineage: Eukaryota; Metazoa; Chordata; Mammalia; Rodentia; Muridae.
UGUUUGGGAGAAACACUACGGAAUUCUU